Molecule: ribosomal RNA, 198 nt
Filed under: uncultured bacterium
Lineage: Bacteria
Description: partial 16S ribosomal RNA
Rfam family: Bacterial small subunit ribosomal RNA
Source: RNAcentral
ACGCUCGACACCUACGGGAGGUAGCAGUGGGGAAUAUUGCACAAUGGGGGAAACCCUGAUGCAGCGACGCCGCGUGAGCGAAGAAGUAUUUCGGUAUGUAAAGCUCUAUCAGCAGGGAAGAAACUGACGGUACCUGACUAAGAAGCACCGGCUAAAUACGUGCCUGCAGCCGCGGUAAUCUGAGCGGGCUGGCAAGGC